This is a long non-coding RNA of Megalobrama amblycephala (Wuchang bream), 3304 nucleotides long. RefSeq lists it as uncharacterized. NCBI's taxonomy places the organism in Eukaryota, Metazoa, Chordata, Actinopteri, Cypriniformes, Xenocyprididae. The record is from RefSeq and is a predicted model, not a curated record. The transcript has 3 exons.
CCGCCUCCUGGCGGCCAGCGAUGGCUCCUCCGGUUGAGGGCAGCUGGCAGCGAGUCCGCCGUCCCCUGCUCCUCCCCUUCAUGGCGGACGGUAGCAGGCUCCGGCCCACGGCAGACGACGGCACUCCUCUGCUCCCUCCAGGAUGGCAGCCACCCCACCUCGUCCCAGGAGCACGGCAUCCGGGUCUCCGUCCCACUUUUCACAAGGCUCCAGUACCACCGCCUCGGGCAGCCUCUCGCGGUCUUCACUCCCGUGCUGCCCGAACUCCGCAGCACCACGAUCCCCCUCUGCAGCGAGGGCUCGCCAACAGCAUGUCCCUCCUUCCUCCCGGGUUUCGGCACCAACGUAACACAGUUCGUAAGUAUGGGAAGAAGGAGGCGGGAACCGGCGAAUGUUCAACAAAACUUUAACUCAAACAAAUACAAAACUAAAGUAAUGCCGUCAGACCCUCACGGAUGUCUGCCAGCCACACAAACAUAAUAAAACAUAAAAUAAAGUCCAGGCCUGGUCCUCUCUCAUCCUUCACUGUCGUCGCUCCUCCUUUUAUGCUUCCGAAGCUCCUCCGUGAGAGACUCAAGGCCGGUGCGCCUCCCAGGUGGAGCUCAUUAACUCUCGCGCCACCGGCCUCGCGCCGUUCCCUCACGGCUCUCGCCCGCCCUGGUCGCCACAACAACAUAAUAACAAAAUAGUGGAUGCCACCUUAUUGGGACAUUACUUGUCCCUGUCCCUAAAGCCCUCCACUACAACUACCCUUAACCCUACCCAAUAAACACUUCAUUAAAUACCCAUUAGGGACUUCAUUUCCACUUUUCUAAUAUUUUCUUCAUUUUAAUUUAAUAUUAAUGCAUCUUCAAACUGAUAUGCGAUGGGAAAUGGAUGAAAUAAAUGAGUUCGGAAAAAGACUCUCCAUAAGAAAAAUCGCAAAACAACACACACACUGAUCGUUAUUAAGAACCAGAACCAAAGUGGCAUCAGCCUCCUCUGAUACAAGGAUCAUAUUUUAGAACGGUGUUACAUUUGCAUUGGUGGAAGAAUGCAGACGUUCCAGAACUGUUCACGGAAAUGAAAAUAAUUUGGUUCCAGUAUUUCUGAAAAAAUGGUUUCCCAACCCAACUUGGAUGACGUGUCAUAUUUACAUUCCAGAAACUCCCAGUGACCAUUUCCCAAAUCACAUAACUGCCUCAUUUUCCCAUGGUGCAAUUACCCUCAGUAAAUGGUGUUGUUAUAAGGUACCUCCUCACCCUGCCUUUGAGGUUUCCACCUUUCUCUAAAUUGUGCUUUGUCCACUUAGAUGAUAAUCUGCUUCACAGCACAUGUGUCAGAUGGAAGGAAUGCUAAUCUGGAAGAGGUGCAGAGCUUGGACUUUUUGGCAGCCAGUUUCCACUCUGCACUUACUUUCCAUGUGGUGCCGCUCCAGAGGCUCCGGGCAGGAGAAGCCUGUUUGGGGAACAGAGGUGUUGACGGAUCCCAGAUCGCCCCUUUGUCCACGCCCCCCAUCUGAGGGUCAUGGCUCUGAUGGACAACUGACCUUAACUUCUGUACCAAUACAGGAUCCAGAUCUGUAGUUCAGAUGAAGGUCUGGAAUGGAGGAUCACAAUUUCUGAAUGAAGAUGUUAAAAGUGUGAGACCCAGGUUUCCUGAUCUUCACCUGUCAACAGAUUUUACCCCAGAGAAUUAUUUGUUCUCUAAAAGACCUGAAUGCGACAUCUCUUCUCUGAUGACGUGUUUACUGGCGCGAGGGCGGGGCAACCUGUCAUUCACAUGAGAUCCACCAAUAGAAAACCACAAUCAUCCAAUUCCCCAUGGACCAAAUCAAGCCCCUCCCUACAUUUGUUCUUAUUCCAGAAGCCGUUUCACUUAGAUAUACAGCACAAUAGGGAAGAAAAGACUAUCGCAAAUUCCAUUUCAUGCCAACUUUAAGCCCUGCCCAUCCCCAAUUUUUCCCCAGUACCGAAAUGCAACAACUAAAGACAUAUGCACAACAAUAACAAACGCUUAUGCAUGACAUCACAACUUGUGGGCGAAUCUUUUUGAAUGCUUUUCAUCAGUUAACCGUGUCAGUGAUAGAAAUCACCAAAUUGUAAUUAGGCUCAUCACUACACCAAAUAAUUAUAAAUUGAACAAAACCUCACAAUUUACAUAAUUUUCAGUAUCACCACAUAACAAAUUAAUAAUUCAUUAUUCGACUACUAAAAGUAUAUCCAACUUUACCCGCACACAUACUGUAGACUCGUGUUAAGCAGUAUAUGCUCAGCUGCGUGAUUGUUUAUAUUGUUGCAAAAUGUAAACUGUAUUAUCGCACAUCUCUAUGUAUAAAGUUGUAUAUACUGUAUAUAUUAUAUCCAACUUUCUCCACUCACGUAGGACAAUACUGUAUAUACUAUGUGGCAAAUCUCAACUCCUUGAUUGCUUGUAUCAUUGAAAAAUGUAAACAAUAUUAUUGCCCAGCAAUAUAUUAAAAGUUGGAUAAAUAGUGCAUCCUAAUUUACCUGCAUGUAUACAGUAUGCUCACGUAGAGCAAUAUAUACUAUAGAGCAAAUCUCAACUGUUUGAUUUUUUUUAAAGUCUAGCUCAAAAUGUAUCUAUAUUAUCGCCCAGCUCUUUAAACUUUAUCCUUUAUCACUUAAAACCUGUACAUUCAAAAUGUAAACUAUGUAAUCUGCCAGCUCUAAUCUGCUAAAUGUGACCAUAAGGCAUGAAGAUAUUAAGAUCUUUGCUCCAGGUUAACCCAUGAUUUAUUUUGAGAGGCAUAAGCAAAACAAAGCAAUGCUGCUUUUUACACAACAUUCAUAAUUACCCAUCAUACAUUGUGAUACAGCCUGCUUAGUUGGUCCAAUGGGACAGAUUGCUUUAUCACCACAAGCGGGAUGAGACCACCUCACUCAGGGGUUUGGAUUCAAGUGCGAUUUCCAUUUCCAUAUAUGCCUGAAAGAACCAUACUAAGGAAGAAAACAUUCCAGGUUCUGAAACAAGCACUCCAAAUGAGCCAGGUGUGAAAACACCCUAAGAUAUUAUAAACAUUAAAAUCAUGAUAUUCUGUAAAGCAGCUUUGAAACAAGGUGUAUUGUAAAAUGUAUACAAAUAAAUUUGACUUGACAAAUUCAUGCAUUCAUGUGAAAGUAUGGGGGAAACAGGUCCUUCAACUCAUAAUUAUUAUACCUGACAUUCUGUUCCCAUACCCCAAAUUAUUCUUCCCGUGAUCCCAUUCACUCCAAACCCCCAGUGCUGACUUUGCCCUCCUAUUAUGGCUCCAUUUUUACGCUAUUAGAGUCUUGAGUGCCGACGCAGCAGAGCUGUACGAUGU